CACCGCCCGUCGCUACUACCGAUUGAAUGGCUCAGUGAGGCCUUCGGACUGGCCUCAGGAGGGUUGGCAACGACCCCCCCGAGCCGGAAGUUGGUCAAACUCGGUCAUUUAGAGGAAGUAAAAGUCGUAACAAGGUUUCCGUAGGUGAACCUGCGGAAGGAUCAUUA
This 167-nucleotide ribosomal RNA is filed under the name Penicillium sublateritium. Its description in RNAcentral is "partial 18S ribosomal RNA". It matches the Rfam family "Eukaryotic small subunit ribosomal RNA", at positions 1667 to 1831 of the family's 1831-position model. Lineage: Eukaryota; Fungi; Ascomycota; Eurotiomycetes; Eurotiales; Aspergillaceae. The record is from RNAcentral.